This 72-nucleotide transfer RNA is filed under the name Loxodonta africana (African savanna elephant). It matches the Rfam family "tRNA". Rfam says of the family: Transfer RNA (tRNA) molecules are approximately 80 nucleotides in length. Lineage: Eukaryota; Metazoa; Chordata; Mammalia; Proboscidea; Elephantidae. The record is from Rfam by way of RNAcentral.
GCUCUGGUGGCACAAAAGUUAAGCACUCAGCUGCUAACUGAGAAAUUGGUGGUUCAAACCCACCCAUGGCCU